AUGGUAACAUUAUAAGUUUUUAUUGAACUUAAUACAAUUUCAGAGAUAGGUUAUAUUUGUUUUUUCCCCUACUUCCUACUUCAUCUUGAAGCUUAUUCUGGAUGUAUAAACUGAUUCCAAAGACAAUUUUCCUUCAUCCUGAGUUUAUGAACUCCUAGGAGGCUAAGACUUCAAUAUCUAUUUUCUUAGGAAGGCUGCAUUUGUAUAAAUGUAUUAAGCUUGAUUUCUCUCUGAAAGCAAAUAUGAGUACAUUUUUUUUUCCUAACUUGGUAACAACUUUAAAUCAAAAUCUCUAGAUAAAGAACCUUUCCCCUCAUGGUUAAGGAGAAAAUCUGCUUUCCUAUCUUUCCUAUUUACUUAACAUUUUUGGUGAUACAAUGAAUAAGAUAUCAGCCAAAGAGUGACUCUGUCUUCCCCUGUUUUUUUUUUUUUUUUUUUUUUUCUUUUCCUGCUACAGGUUGUGUUUCACAUGGUUGUGGGUAUGAUGUGCUACAGCAACAUGACAUCUUGAUUAGGUAUAUCGGUCAUGACUGCUUUAAAGAACAUUCUCACCUCAGAGUUCUCAGGUCAUGACAUUAUGUUCUUGGUAUUCUUAGCCUAAGCACUCAUGAAAAUGGAACGCUUUUUUGUUUUCUUGGUCAUCUGUGGUAGGGUGAAUUGAAUUCCAGUUACCAUGGGAAACUUAUUUGUUUUUGGUUUGUUUCUUUUUUUUCUAAUGGCGUCUUAUAUUAAAAGUAAAAUCUGGGAAAUAUCUAAAAUGUCUAUUGAGAUGAGAGCAAAACAAUAUCUAAACAGAGUUUAUAAAUCCUAUCCUUUUUAUAGAAUACCCAAAACACAGAUUUAGAAUCUCCAACAGUGGCCAUAACUUAUAUAAAAACACUUAAUACAUUAGCUGUUUAUAUCUGCAAGAAAUAAUAUCUUGUUUAAUUGUCCUACUGAAUAUAAAUGUAUGUGAUUUUCCUGAUAAUAUAUAUUUGUACCAAAUCCAUAAAUUUUAACCUUUACUUCUAAAAUUUUCUUGCUUUGGAUAUAGUUAUUAGCAGUCAUCUGUAGCAGGGGAGAGCCCUGUUAGAGCAAGCUGGCAGAUAUCAAAACAAAUGACUUCUCUUGUACCACAUCUGAUACAUGCCCUAGAGGUUUAGAGCUUGGAUUCUCUUUGGCAAAUAAGAAAAUAAAAUAUUUAAGAAAGUAUGCAGUAAGAGUUAUUUUAGCCUAUAUUGAAGCAGCAGUUCUAUGACUUCACCACAAAAAAAAAAAUUUUGUGAAGAUAAAAGAAUUGUGGCAUAUGGACUGAUGAAGUGGCCCUUUUUAUUUUUGGGACAUAGAUAAAGCAGAUAAGAGGAACUGAUCCAAGCUUUAAAGAGAACAAUCAUUUGGAAAUGGCUUUUUGGAGCUCUUAGCAGAAAAAACAAAGGUAAGAUCAUGAAUUAUGUUUCUUAUCACUUAACUAAAACUGGGUACAAUAGCCAUUAUUGGUUAUAUUUAAUAUGACAACAGACUAAAUGCUUCCCAUUUUAUGUGAGGUACUUAAAACCUUAAAGUUUGGUGAAGGACUAUAACAGCAGAAAUUCCUUCUUUCCUACCUUUCUCCUCCCCCCCUUUCCUUUUUCUUUUUCCUCUACCCUCCCUGCUUCCCUUUUUCCAACUGGUAGGAAAUGAAUGUAGAUGGAACAAUAUGAUGAAUGGAUUUUGAACAAUUUCAGUAAAAUAAUAUGUACUUACAGGUUAAAUUGGGUUUCUCAGUGUGUUAACACAUUAUCAGAGUCACUUAU
Non-coding RNA from Microcebus murinus (gray mouse lemur), 1772 nucleotides. The record is from RefSeq and is a predicted model, not a curated record. Lineage: Eukaryota; Metazoa; Chordata; Mammalia; Primates; Cheirogaleidae.